Molecule: ribosomal RNA, 253 nt
Filed under: uncultured bacterium
Lineage: Bacteria
Description: partial 16S ribosomal RNA
Rfam family: Bacterial small subunit ribosomal RNA
Source: RNAcentral
UACGGAGGGUGCAAACGUUGCUCGGAAUCAUUGGGCGUAAAGCGCGCGUAGGCGGCGAAGCAAGUUGGAUGUGAAAGCCCUGGGCUCAACCUAGGAUGUGCAUACAAAACUGCUUCGCUUGAAUCUCGGAGGGGGUCAGGGAAUUCCCGGUGUAGAGGUGAAAUUCGUAGAUAUCGGGAGGAACACCAGUGGCGAAGGCGCUGACCUGGACGAUGAUUGACGCUGAGGCGCGAAAGCUAGGGGAGCAAACAGG